GCGCUCGCGCGCCGUACCGCGGCCCUUUGGGCCGCUGGCGCUCCGCGAGGGCGCGGCAUAAGCCGCGACGGCCGGUCGGCCUUGCGAGGCUUUGCCUCGAGGUCACCAGCUCGUUACUGGCAGAGCGCGGUCUUUAGGGCUUGUAGCUCAGUUGGUUAGAGCGCGCGCUUGAUAAGCGUGAGGUCGGAGGUUCAAGUCCUCCCAGGCCCACCACUUCGCAAUCCGCAAGGAUUGUCGGAUCUCCUCGAUACUCAUCGGGAAACACUAUCAGGGGCCGUAGCUCAGCUGGGAGAGCGCCUGCUUUGCAAGCAGGAUGUCGUCGGUUCGAUCCCGUCCGGCUCCACCACUUUCUUGUCUUUGGACGAAGAAGGGGUGUCGAGUGGAGGUGAGGGGAAAAAGUCAUUCGUAAAAAGAGUUUGCGGCGAGCACUUGGCUCUCCGCCUGUUCUGUUUGACAUCGUAGAGAGAAGAUUUGUUCGAACUUCAUGAGCCGCAAGGGUCAUGAUUUGUCGCAAGGGACGCUCAAUCCCUUGCAUAUGAUGGGUUUGCCUAACCGCACCCUCGAACCGAUCUCGAGAAGCUGGUCUUUUUGUGCCAAU
Molecule: transfer RNA, 598 nt
Filed under: Mesorhizobium plurifarium
Lineage: Bacteria; Pseudomonadati; Pseudomonadota; Alphaproteobacteria; Hyphomicrobiales; Phyllobacteriaceae
Description: partial 16S-23S ribosomal RNA intergenic spacer
Rfam family: tRNA (bases 137-210)
Source: RNAcentral